UAAUCGUAGCACGCCAUACGGGUAUUCGUGUUUUCGGAAUGUCCGUAAUCACGAAUGAAGGAUACCACUUUGCCGAUGACUUUGUCAAUGACGAGCAGGAUGUUAUCCGUGCAG
RNAcentral lists this non-coding RNA (114 nucleotides) under Porphyromonas gingivalis. Lineage: Bacteria; Pseudomonadati; Bacteroidota; Bacteroidia; Bacteroidales; Porphyromonadaceae. The record is from RNAcentral.